This 122-nucleotide ribosomal RNA is filed under the name Oryza sativa (Asian cultivated rice). The record is from RNAcentral. Lineage: Eukaryota; Viridiplantae; Streptophyta; Magnoliopsida; Poales; Poaceae.
GGAUGCGAUCAUACCAGCACUAAAGCACCGGAUCCCAUCAAAACUCCGAAGUUAAGCGUGCUUGGGCGAGAGUAGUACUAGGAUGGGUGACCUCCUGGGAAGUCCUCGUGUUGCAUCCCUCC